AACGUCUUUUGGUAUGAUGAGGCAGACGCUCUACCACUAGACCAUGAGAGCGGUCAGACACCACAGUGGAACAUACCUGACAAUAAUGUAAACAAUUGUAAUGCAAAACGAAGCACUUUAUUUACCAUUGGAAACAUUUGCCCAACAAAAGGCACAUGCUAGCUUUCUUGAUGAAAUGUUGAUAAAUACUGCAUACAUACACAUGGGCACACAAGUUGUGUGGUCAAUGGUGCCAGGGAAAGACUAUUAUUGGUAUACUAUUAUACACUGUACAGACAGGUGUAGCUGUCUACACACGCCUGAGCUCAGUAGACUGUACAGACAGGUGUAGCUGUCUACACACGCCUGGAGCUCAGUACACAGUACAGACAGGUGUAGCUGUCUACACACACACCUGGAGCUCAGUACACAGUACAGACAGGUGUAGCUGUCUACACACACCUGGAGCUCAGUACACGGUACAGACAGGUGUAGCUGUCUACACACACACCUGGAGCUCAGUACACGGUACAGACAGGUGUAACUGUCUACACACGCCUGGAGCUCAGUACAUU
Long non-coding RNA from Haliotis rufescens (red abalone), 554 nucleotides. RefSeq lists it as uncharacterized. The record is from RefSeq and is a predicted model, not a curated record. NCBI's taxonomy places the organism in Eukaryota, Metazoa, Mollusca, Gastropoda, Lepetellida, Haliotidae. The transcript has 2 exons.